This 427-nucleotide ribosomal RNA is filed under the name uncultured bacterium. RNAcentral's name for it is "bacterial SSU rRNA". It matches the Rfam family "Bacterial small subunit ribosomal RNA", at positions 355 to 774 of the family's 1533-position model. The record is from RNAcentral.
CUAAGAAUCUUCCGCAAUGGGCGAAAGCCUGACGGAGCGACGCCGCGUGGGUGAUGAAGGCCUAACGGUUGUAAAGCCCUUUUCUGCGUGAGGAAUAAAGACAGGAGGCAAUGCCUGUCUGAUGACGGUAGCGCAGGAAUAAGCCCCGGCCAAUUACGUGCCAGCAGCCGCGGUAACACGUAUGGGGCGAGCGUUGUUCGGAAUCAUUGGGCGUAAAGGGCGCGCAGGCGGCUAUGUAAGUCUGGUGUGAAAGACCGCAGCUCAACUGCGGGCACGCGCUGGAAACUAUGUAGCUUGAGUUCUGGAGGGGAAGCUGGAAUUCCAGGUGUAGGGGUGAAAUCUGUAGAUAUCUGGAAGAACAUCGGCGGCGAAGGCGAGCUUCUGGCCAUGAACUGACGCUGAGGCGCGAAAGCGUGGGGAGCGAACA